GAACGGGUGAGUAACACGUGGGCAAUCUGCCCUGCACUCUGGGACAAGCCCUGGAAACGGGGUCUAAUACCGGAUAACACUCCUACACUCAUGUGUGGGUGUUGAAAGCUCCGGCGGUGCAGGAUGAGCCCGCGGCCUAUCAGCUUGUUGGUGAGGUAAUGGCUCACCAAGGCGACGACGGGUAGCCGGCCUGAGAGGGCGACCGGCCACACUGGGACUGAGACACGGCCCAGACUCCUACGGGAGGCAGCAGUGGGGAAUAUUGCACAAUGGGCGAAAGCCUGAUGCAGCGACGCCGCGUGAGGGAUGACGGCCUUCGGGUUGUAAACCUCUUUCAGCAGGGAAGAAGCGCAAGUGACGGUACCUGCAGAAGAAGCGCCGGCUAACUACGUGCCAGCAGCCGCGGUAAUACGUAGGGCGCAAGCGUUGUCCGGAAUUAUUGGGCGUAAAGAGCUCGUAGGCGGCUUGUCACGUCGGGUGUGAAAGCCCGGGGCUUAACCCCGGGUCUGCAUUCGAUACGGGCUAGCUAGAGUGUGGUAGGGGAGAUCGGAAUUCCUGGUGUAGCGGUGAAAUGCGCAGAUAUCAGGAGGAACACCGGUGGCGAAGGCGGAUCUCUGGGCCAUUACUGACGCUGAGGAGCGAAA
This 644-nucleotide ribosomal RNA is filed under the name Streptomyces sp. 3131_4. RNAcentral's name for it is "bacterial SSU rRNA". It matches the Rfam family "Bacterial small subunit ribosomal RNA", at positions 100 to 758 of the family's 1533-position model. The record is from RNAcentral. Lineage: Bacteria; Bacillati; Actinomycetota; Actinomycetes; Kitasatosporales; Streptomycetaceae.